UACGGAGUGUGCAAGCGUUGUCCGGAUUUAUUGGGUUUAAAGGGUGCGUAGGCGGCUAUUUAAGUCAGUGGUGAAAUCCUGCAGCUUAACUGUAGAAUUGCCAUUGAUACUGGAUAGCUUGAGUACAGACGAGGUAGGCGGAAUUUAUGGUGUAGCGGUGAAAUGCAUAGAUACCAUAAAGAACACCUAUUGCGAAGGCAGCUUACUAGGCUGUAACUGACGCUGAGGCACGAAAGUGUGGGGAUCAAACAGG
This 253-nucleotide ribosomal RNA is filed under the name uncultured bacterium. RNAcentral describes it as "partial 16S ribosomal RNA". It matches the Rfam family "Bacterial small subunit ribosomal RNA", at positions 524 to 776 of the family's 1533-position model. The record is from RNAcentral.